CAGCCGUAAACUAUGCGCGUUAGGUGUAUCGGUGACCACGAGUUACCGAGGUGCCGAAGGGAAACCGUGAAACGUGCCGCCUGGGAAGUACGGUCGCAAGGCUGAAACUUAAAGGAAUUGGCGGGGGGAGCACCACAACAGGUGGAGCCUGCGGUUUAAUUGGACUCAACGCCGGACAACUCACCGGGGACGACAGCAAUAUGUAGGCCAGGCUGAAGACCUUGCCUGAAUCGCUGAGAGGAGGUGCAUGGCGUAGACGUCU
Molecule: ribosomal RNA, 262 nt
Filed under: uncultured archaeon
Lineage: Archaea
Description: partial 16S ribosomal RNA
Rfam family: Archaeal small subunit ribosomal RNA
Source: RNAcentral